Molecule: long non-coding RNA, 2801 nt
Organism: Anguilla anguilla (European eel)
Lineage: Eukaryota; Metazoa; Chordata; Actinopteri; Anguilliformes; Anguillidae
Exons: 4
Source: RefSeq, a predicted model, not a curated record
UCUGAAAAUCAUGUGGUGUCUGUUCUAUGAGAGGACAUUGGGUAUGACCGCAAAGCACUUUGUCUCUACUUCUGAGAGAUACUUUUAAAGUGGUCACCUUUUUUGAUUCUUUUGAAACAUUCAUCAGUCAUUUCACUGACUACUGAGGAGUGUUCAGUAAAUACUCUGUCAUAUUUUUAUCUGAAAGUUAAGAGCAGAACACAUUGUGGCGAGACUGUAGCCAGAAAUAAAUCAGCAUUUGAGUUUAACUUUGAAAAAUGAAGAGUCCUUUUUUCUACCUAAAAACAGUUUUGGUGGUUACUGACUGAAUUCAAAUUACAUUGAAUUGUGGGUCAAAGUUAAGGACAAAUGGAGAGCUUUUGUGCAUCAAGUUUCUAAUGCCAAUACAAAUUCAUCUUCCAAUAUUACAUGCACCCAAAAUAACUCUGGCCCCAGUGAAAGAGUGCAGUCGAUUCUUGCCCGAGUCUCAUGUAUCCAUCUGUAUGGUGUAGGAUGAGAGCAGAAUUCUGACUGUACUACGGGAAAUGUGCAACCUUUUGAUAAGUCUCUCGAGAGUCUCUUCACUGUGCACAUAUCAUCUAAGAUUUUACUGUCAAUUAUGAACAUAUAUAUUUUUCCCUCUCCAGUUGAUUGGGCUUUCUAAUAGCACACAGCUUGUGUGUAAUCGGCUCCAUUAAGUCCAUCAUCUACGUGUGCAAAUAAGCCCACAGAAUGGCAGUGGAAAAUUAGUGGUGACAGUGAAAGGGUUUCAGAGACUGAGGAUGGAUGUCUGUUUCAGUGCGUUGGAAGAAAAACACUGCAUAUUCUACCCAUCAUUUAUUCAUCUGGCAUGACAUGAUCAGCCAUCCCUGCAAAGUGGGAAUUCAGAAAUCUGCAGAUUGACUUAUUGUGUAAAAUGUAUAUACAGUAUACACGUCUAUAUAUAAAUGUCUUUGUUUUCAUAUAGGCUAUACUGAAAUCAGUUUUUUUUUUUUUAAACCAUUCAUUUUCCUCCAAUUUGUAAUGUCAAAGCCUAUUAUAUGUUUCAGUGUUCUGAUUCAGUCUGGGAGAGUGUGGACAAGCACACUCUGCUGUAGCCACUUGUUUUUACACUGCAGUCCACCAGCUGAGCUGCGUAGUAACUGCGUCGCAUUUUAUGCACAUUUGCAUACCAUGCCGUUGGGGCAAAUCCCCACACCAUAACCCAGGGUACAGCCAGUUGAGCCGGCAGCACUGACUGAAAACAAUACUUUAGAAGUGCAGUCAGCGCAGAGACACCUCGGACUGCUUUGAGAUGUAUUCUUUGUCUGAGUCUACAGAUACCAUCUGCAGCAGUGGAUGUUUUGUUGUUUCAAAAUAUGUAUUUCUGCCAAUAACUCACUCCUUCCUCUCUCAGACAUGCAGAAAAUCAGAGGUGAGAUAAUUCCAGGUACAGUUUGUCAGGGGAUUGGCUUUGGGCUAACUGUGCUUUUGCAGAAUUAUUUUCAGUCACGGUGUUGUUUGAUAAAAGCAGCCAGGGUUUGCAUUUGUUGUGUAUUUUGCCCUCACAAACUGCUACAGCACAGUGGGCAAAGCCCCAGGCUGGGAAGACAGAGAUUGCCAGUUCAAAUCCUUGGUGAAGCACUGCCUUGAGAAAGGAACCUGACUGAAAUUUCUCAGGCGCCCCAUUUCUCACCCUCAAGGAGCUCCUUUGGCCCCACUUUAAGAGGGAGAGAAGGCUACAGCAGGAAUGGAACCAGGGAACAACUGCUGGAAAGGCUCAGAAAAUCCCAGUCGGACUAAGGUGACCUCAUUGAGCAGUGAAGCUGCCAUUCUCCAGUGGAAACGCUCCACAGUUUUGCCGUGCUGCUCACCUUCAUGGACAAUUAGCCCUCGGAUCACUGCAGAGAGAGUCUGAGGAGCGCUCAUUUAGAGCAGGCGGGUGGCGGAAAACAAACAAAAAGCACUCAUUUGAAUAGCACAAAUAUAUUCUUUGUCACCUUGACUAAACUUUGAGGCACAGUUCAGGACAAAAAUAGAUAAAUCUGCUUUGAUUUUGCGCUUAAUGUGCUUCCUUUUAUUUCUCCCACCCUUAAGUACUGCUUCUGUACGUCCUCGGGUAUUACAUUACAAACAAAAAUAUAUUAAUGAACAGCAGUCGUGUCUAAUAAGAUGUUAUGUAAAAGUAUUGUCAUAAACAUGCAGCCUUUUGGGGGUUGACAGAUAUUCAUGUAAAAAAACAACUUGUAAGGAAAAACAUUUAAUGGGUGUUUCAUAAUGUUCAUCAUGUUCAAAAUACAUGUUUUGCUUAUUUUUAUUUAUUUAAAUGUACACUCCAAUCUACAUCUAUACUAUCGUGAUUUUCAGAUGGUUAAAUAUUUAAAAAAUGUUAUUAUUGCCAUCACAUAUGGCAGAUACAAUAAAAUCACAGAUAAACUGCACAUAAGUGAAUAGCGAUAUAUUGCCACGUAUGUCUUCUGUGAAGUUAUCCUGGCAAUUAUAGGAUCAAUGAUAAUUGCAUAGCUGUUCAUAAAUCAGUUCUAAUAGCUUUUGGUAUGGUAAAAAUAUAGCCAAGCACAAACUCAUUGUUUCUAAAAACACUUACAUCGCAUGCAUUUAGUCAUGAGUCGAUGUGUAAUUACAAAAUGGACGGCCUGUUAAAGGAAUAUUUCUAUUUACUGCAAUAUUCUUAAUGUUUGCAAGGGAAUUCCGUUGGAAAUACUGGGAGUCAGGCAGAGAGACAUUGGGUCUGAUGUAAUUGUAUAAUAUAUAAUCAGCAUAAAAUAAAGAAUGGUUCCCUAAAAUAAAGAAUAGAUGCCUUUCUGAUGUGGUCUCAAAUAUGG